GAUGAAGAACGCAGCGAAAUGCGAUAAGUAAUGCGAAUUGCAGAAUUUCCGUGAGUCAUCGAAUCUUUGAACGCACAUUGCGCCCGGUAGUAUUCUGCCGGGCAUGCCUGUUCGAGCGUCAUUUCAACCAUCAAGCCCCAGCGCUUGUGUUGGGGGCCUGCGGCUGCCGCAGCCCCCUAAAAGCAGUGGCGGGCUCGCUAUCACACCGAGUGCAGUAGUUCAUCUUCUCUCCGGUCUUGUGAGGCGGGUUCCGGCCGUGAAACACCCCACUACAUUCAAGGUUGACCUCGGAUCAGGUAGGAAUACCCGCUGAACUUAAGCAUAUCAAUAAGCGGAGGA
This 339-nucleotide unclassified non-coding RNA is filed under the name soil metagenome. RNAcentral describes it as "partial contains 5.8S ribosomal RNA, internal transcribed spacer 2, and large subunit ribosomal RNA". The stretch from base 1 to 121 matches the Rfam family "5.8S ribosomal RNA", at positions 35 to 154 of the family's 154-position model. The record is from RNAcentral.